CCUUGCUCCUGCCUCAGGAAUUUGUACCAACCUUCUGAAAUACUCUCUCCAUUGGGAUGGGUCCCUCCUCAUCUGGAGCUUAACUGCCAUUUCUUCAGAGGGGCCUUCCCUGCCUCUCUUGUUACCCCCUCACCCGAUUUUAGCCUCUUGCUUAGCCUCCAGCCCCAUCUGAUACUGCUGUUUCUGUGUUUUUCAGUUUAUCUCCUCCUGCUAAUGUGUUAUUUCCACGAGAGGAAAUCUUGCCUGAUGUUCACUUGUUUUCCCAGUGCCUAGAGGAGCAGUCGGCAUAUAGAUGCUCAGUAAAUAUGUGGUGGAUGACAGGAAGAAUAAAGGAGAACUGAUGGAUGCUGUGUGCUCCUACUCUGAGUGAUGAAGAUCCACAGGGUUCAACCCACUGGAUGCCCUCUGGGGCUCAGGAAGCAUUGCCAGGCUGCCCGUAGAUCACUGAACAAAGAAGCUGCCCCUAUCUUGAUUGUAGCUCUCUGCCAGCCUGCCCCUUGAGGUCUGUCCCAAUCUGUGGUUCUGGCCAAGGCCUCUGCUGCUCUUUCCAGCUCAAAGUGGUCCAGCUUUGGCAGGGUUCAGAAUGCUGAAUACCCCCAGCCACACAGACCUCCCAUGCAUGGGGUGGGCAGCCCCAGACCUCUUGUUUGGCUCUGUGAAAGCUCAGCAAGGCUGCAGACGCUCCUAUUACCCCUAGCAGCUGCUUCCCAGAGGAGUUCCAUAGCUCAUCUCAUGCCAGCGACCCCCCCACCCCCCUGCAAGCCUGCAGUGAUUGCUGGCCCCACAGAGUCAUUGGAGCCAUUGGCAUCACUCUCCAGGAUGCUGACAGCAAACACUGAAAGUCAAACCCUCUAGAGCCCCCUGCCUGCUCUUCCAGGGCUCUGUGAGCCUUGCCUCUUCUGGAACGAUGAUUGUGGAUUGAGGCAAUCAAGGUCAGGAAAAUGCACGCAGGCCCCAACUCAGGCCAGCAGGCAGGUCUGCAAACAUCAAAAUUACCCAGUUCAAAAUGAAGCCUGGCUGCUGAGAAAUGGUCAUCUGGGAGGCCCCUGACUGUGAUGUGCAUCCAGGUGUUCUCAGAAUAGGGGCAUGCGGCUGGCUGAAGGGAGAAGAACAGGGCUUUCCCUGGUGUGGGAGGCACAAUUCUAGAAUGGCUGUCACAAUUCCCACUCCUGGCACACAGGCUCUGUGUGGAAUCUUAUCACAUGGAGUGUGGGUGGCUUCUGUGAAUAUGACAAGAUGUCACACCAUAAGGUCAGGCCAUAAGGAAAAGGUAAAGGGAUUCUGCAUGUGUAAUUAAAGCCCUCAAUCAGCUGACUUUGAGAUCAUCGAAAGGGAGAUCAUCCAGGCCUAGGCCUGGCCUGACCAGGGGGCCAAGCAGUGAGGAACUGAGAAGGGCUCCCGCCUCACAGUCAGCCAGGAAACCCAGCCCUCAGUCCUAUCAGGCAAGGAGUUGAAUUCCACCAACAACCUGAAGGAGCUUGGAAGUAGACCUCAGGCUCCAGAUGAGAAUGCAGCUCCAGGAGGUUGUGAGACCCUAAACAGAGAGCCCGCCGCCAUGCUGUGCCCACACCCAAGACCCAUGGAGCUGUGAGAUAAUAAAUGUGUGCUGGUUUAAGCCUCUGGGCUUGCUGUAAUGUUGUUACACAGCAAUAAAUAAGAAAUGCAUCUGAGCUCCA
This is a long non-coding RNA of Canis lupus familiaris (dog), 1676 nucleotides long. RefSeq lists it as uncharacterized. NCBI's taxonomy places the organism in Eukaryota, Metazoa, Chordata, Mammalia, Carnivora, Canidae. The record is from RefSeq and is a predicted model, not a curated record. The transcript has 2 exons.